Molecule: long non-coding RNA, 1595 nt
Filed under: Chrysemys picta bellii (western painted turtle)
Lineage: Eukaryota; Metazoa; Chordata; Testudines; Emydidae
Description: lncRNA (ENSCPBG00000017893.1)
Source: RNAcentral
UUUUAAGGCAGACAAGAUUUGAAUCUUGAAUGUGAAAAGGACAUGGAGAGUUCAAAACAAAACUUUCAGGCUCUCUUUAUUCAUCAUUGACACAAACCCAUUUUCCCCCCCAGGUUAGCUACAUUUCUGCAGAAAUUGAUAAUGCUAGAAAAGUGCUAAUGCUUUGUACUGCUAACUCCAGGCUUAUGCCCUUUGUGAUUUGACCACUCCUCCUUCCCCUUCCCUUUUGUUUACAGUGAGUUGUUGGAGACGGCUUGCAUUGCACUCGAAUAUCAACCACUGGGACUUGGGAGAGUGAACAACUGACUUCCCUCUUGCUGCCUGAAACAUGAAAAUUAGAACUAUUUUUAAUUAUGACUCACAGGAAGUUGCUGUUGUACUAGAAAAUGAUUCCACUUUGUCCCCACUCUCUCUACAUGUGACCACCCAAGCCAUAGAGGGAUCGUGGAAUGAGACUGACAAGAAGAAUUUCAUGACUUCUCAUGGCCAUGCUGGCUUGAUUACUGUAGUUGUCAUGGUGGUGGUGCUGCUGCUGCUAUUUGUGCUGUAUAAACAUAAGGUUAUCCCGUGUAGAAGAAAGAAGCCUGAGAUAUAAGCAAGUGAAGAUGAGUUGCUUUAGGAAGCUAUAAACAGUGGAAUGGAACUACAGAUGGCUUAGAGGGAGAACAAGUGUGCACUGUGAUGGUCAGGGUCUCUGCUAGCAGGGAAACAAGACCCACAUGGAGCCUCUUACCAGCAAUUACUAUUGGUGCUCUUCUGAUCUCUCCCACCUGAUUUGCACAUUUUGAGGACUUCUGUUUUGGAAAUUCCUAGUUCUGCUUGUGGUUUGGGAGAUAGCAGACCUGGAAUACACGUAGCCACUUUUCUAAUCCUACUUGCUGUUAACUGGCUUAGGUUGUGUUUUGUUUUUAAUUUAUUUUUGUAAGAGCUGUUCAAAGGCUUGCCUCAUUGCGUUCUAAGACCUGCCUGCCAUGUAGGCUUUGGUUUGCUUUCUGGUGUCUUCUGGGUUCACCUACCUGCCCAUUUCUAAUGCAUGUAUCACUGUAGUCUCUAGUGGCAGUUACAUUCCCCACCAUCAUGAAAUAUUUCUAGACUUAUUCUGAAAUACUGCAUCUCUGGAACGCCGUACUGUCUACUGCGUAUACAGGAAUCCAUUAUUUAUACAUUGCUUGCCUUUUUAGCCCUGCUCUCCCAAAACACUAGGUGCACAGCAUGAAAUACAAUCGGUCCAAAAGAGGUGUCAGUACAUUAUAAAGAUGCAUUAGUGGUUUUAAAAACCCACCAUCUGUUGCUAACCAAGAACCAUUCUUUAGCUAGCAGAAUCAUCCUGAUAAAAUAUGUCUUCCUCUUCUGAACAAAACUCAACAUUUUCUCAGGUAGCUUGAUCUUCAGAGAUGCACUUUUAAAUGUCUUAGAAAGAUCCUGAACAGCCAGCUAUAGUAGAAAGAGCCUGGGCCUGGUGCAAGGCCUGAGGCCUGAAUCAAAGUCAGCAAAAGUUAUGCUUAAAAGUUGUAGAUGCCAUGUUCUGAUCAUUUAUGAAGAUAUACGUCUGUUACAUAAUUACAAAUUAGUACCCGAGCCGAGCAUAUGAAGAU